RNAcentral lists this ribosomal RNA (253 nucleotides) under uncultured bacterium. RNAcentral's name for it is "partial 16S ribosomal RNA". It matches the Rfam family "Bacterial small subunit ribosomal RNA", at positions 524 to 776 of the family's 1533-position model. The record is from RNAcentral.
UAUGUAGGGCGCAAGCGUUAUCCGGAAUUAUUGGGCGUAAAGAGCUCGUAGGCGGUUUGUCGCGUCUGCCGUGAAAGUCCGGGGCUCAACUCCGGAUCUGCGGUGGGUACGGGCAGACUAGAGUGAUGUAGGGGAGACUGGAAUUCCUGGUGUAGCGGUGAAAUGCGCAGAUAUCAGGAGGAACACCGAUGGCGAAGGCAGGUCUCUGGGCAUUAACUGACGCUGAGGAGCGAAAGCAUGGGGAGCGAACAGG